GGUCCGGGACUCCCGCCCGCCCGUGGAGAGCUGCUUCCUGCGGAGUCGCACCGCCACCCAGGAGGCAGGCUUCAUCCCAUUUACCCAGCGUGUGGAAGGGGCCAGCCCAGCAACACGUGGCCGGUGAAUGACCAAGCCAAUCUGUUCGACUCCAGCAUCCUCGGUCCUCCCAGGAUGCUGCACGGGGGGAGACGCUGAGAGUGGCGAGGCUGGGUCUGGAGGCCAAGCCCGCAGCCCUGGGGCUCUCCCGACGUGAACGUGGAGGUGGGGCCCCUAAGGUGGGGGCCCCACGGGCCGCGGCCCUGGGUCUGGAGCCUCUGCCCCCUCCCUGGCUUGCCCUUUUUGGGCCUCAGCCGACUUUCUGACAAAGGGAAGGAGGUUUGCUGUGGAUUUCAGCCAGCUGGGCUCCUGACUGUGUUCCUUCCGUGUGAGGCCUCAUGCUCAGCACCUGGGAAGGGGCUGCAGGAUGUGGUUUCCCCCUGAGUAAAAGGAGCCACUCAGUUCUUGGAUAAGAAGGUCUUGGGAGAACCUGGCUUCUUUUCCCUGCUUCAGCCCAUCCCAGAGAGAUCAAGCUCCCCCAUCUUGAGAGACGCCGAGAAGAAUUCUCCCAGCACCUCCAGUCGUCUCUUCAGCCUCUGAACAACCAUCAUUAUCAGGAAAUCCUUCCGGCUACCUAACCUGAGUUGAACAGGCAGGGCCCGAGGGCCGCUUUCCCCACAGCUGGCCUAAGCAGAUCUCUGGCUGGAAGGACUGGGUCAGCCAUUGGGGAGUCAGAAGCAUUUUUAAAUUUUUCCCAUGACCUCUCAUUAGAUAAAAACAUCUUGUCUUUGUCCAGAUCUGAUCUUCACACUGUCUGGUUUUGAGCAGACUGGAGUGAGGCAUAAAUGGCCUUCUGGAGAGUCAUAUGGCAGAUUCUCCCAAUAUUGUAAAUGUCUUUGCCCUUUGCCCCAGAAACUUUUUCUGGAACAUUUCUCCAGAAAUACCUGUAUGUGGGCCCUGAGGUGGACCCACAGGGAUGUUCGUGCCAGUGUUGUUUAGAAGUGAACAAAAGAAAACCAUCUGUGUGCCCAUCGGUGUGGAAGGAUUAAAGAGAUGGUGCUGCUGCCAAGACGCAGAAGCUUUUCAAAGCCCCAGGAGCUGGACAUCAGAGGAGGGUGAGGCGUCGGAAUAGAAAUGAUCUCCCCGUGCUGGGUCAGCACUUCCUGCCGGCUGGACUUCUGCUGCUGUUUCCUGUACUAGUCCCCGGGGGGUAAAGGGAAAGCACCCCCUCCCACCUCUUCCAGACAUAGACCGAGACAUUCUGAGGUUGUGUUAAAAUGCUGGUGGCAGACAGAGAUGAAUAAACCGAGGCUUGUGGUUGUUGAAGUCUCUUGCUGAAGGUCGCACAGUGGUAGCCGGCAUUUGAACCCACCCUGACUCCAGUGCUUCAGGCUUACUCUGCUCUGUCCUGCUGUUGUCUCCCUGUGUGGUGAUGGCUCUUCUCUGGGGAGGUGGCUUUUUGUGCAUUGGCUGAUGUCAUCUUGGAGGGUGAAGACAUCAAGCAGACAGUGAGGAAGAGCCACUGAUGAGGGGUGUGCUCCACAUCCAUCUUCUGGCUGGGGCUGGAUCUUAUCUGCAGGGGCCCCUAACUCUACCAAGGUUCAGUGGGAUCUAGAAGUCUUCUGUCCUGUCAUGAGGAUGGACACAGAGUCUGCACACCUGCCUCAAGUUCAAGGGUCCUAAAGAGGUGCCUCUCAUUUGCUUGGCUUUUAAAGAACACCCUGUGGUAGAAACAUCUUGUUCUGACAAGACAGUGUGAGAUUCUAAAACUGCAUUUUGAUGUGGUCCCAAGAUCCAGGAAUAUUAGGAAAGGUUAAAUUAGAGAUGUGGUCGGAGCUGUGGUUUGAUGCUUUGAAGGUGGGAGAGAGGCAGAGGACCUCAGCGGAGCUCAAACUCCCACUCCCAAGCUGUGUCAUCUGGGGCAAGUCACUUCACCGCUCUGAGCCUCUGUGCUCCCUCCAGCCCUCCACCCACUCACCCAUCUACCUAUCCACUUAUCCACAAACCUACUAAUCUACCCACGCCCCGACUCACCCACCAAUUCAUCCAUCCGUCCAUCCAUCCAUCCACUCGAUGAGCAUUCAUGGAGGCCCUAGUAAGUUAAGAACUGUACCAGAUGCUGGGUCCCAUAAUUAAGACACUGCCAUGGAAACCCACACAAUUAUUAAUAGAAGAAUGAAUUACAGACCAUCACAUAUGGGAAGCUGUGUAGUUGUUAAUAAGAAUAAGGCAGGUCUAUAGGAACUGAUGUGGAAUGACCUCCAGAUAUAUGGCUAAGAGGAAAAUAAAGAUGCAGAGUACGUGUGUAUGCUGUCAUCUGUAAAAAAGAGAAAAAAGGGGAUGGUCUAUUUAAACAUGUGUGCUUGGAUAUGCCUAGAAAAUUUCUGGUAGGACACCUAAGAAAUGAGUAUCAGAGAUUGCCUCUGAUGAGGGAGACUGGAGAAUUAGGAAGGAACUUUGUAUGUCACUCUGUUCCAUUUCAUGGUGCUUGAAUUAAAAAAAAAAAGUUAUCUAUUUAAAAUUGAGACAAAAAGUGAUUUAAAAAAAAGUCUCUGAGUAAUGAUACAGAAAGACAAGAAAACAGCAAAUUACAAUGCUGCUCAUAUGUAUGUGAUUAGGGAAGCAGAGGGGAUUGUGGGAGCAGAGAGGGGCAGCCUGAGGGAAUCAGGGGAGGCUUCCCAGAAGAGGUGAUGCCUGACAUGAGGCUCUCUGGCUGAGUGUAGAUUAAGGGAAGAUGCCAGUGAGGGCAUUCCUUGGCAGGAGGAACUGCAUGAGCGAAGGCGGACAGGUGAGGUUCAGUGUGGCUGGAGCAAAGCCAUCAGUGUAGUGGGAAGUUUGGAAUUUGUCUGAAGCACAACAGGGGGCCAGGGAUAGGUUUAAAGAGUAGUGACACGGUCGGAGUUUUGUUUAGAAAGACUUUCUGGCAGUCAUGUGGGGAAUGGAUCCCAGCAGUGAGGCUGGAGGCAUCGAGACCAGUGGGGAGGCUGGGAGAAAGAUGGUGGAGGCCUGGACUAAGGCAGAGAGAAAGGGGUGGGAGAGCUCUUUUGGAAAUGGGAAGUGCCACUUCUCACAGGACUGUGGGCAUCCACUGAAAUAAUUUUGGCAGAUGGCUCUGCAAAGUGUACAGUGGUUCUCACCCUGCGUGCACACAGGAAACUCUGGGGGAGCUUUAAAAACACUCGUGCCCAGGCCCCACCCCAGGAUAUCAGAUUUAAUCAGGCAUCAGGAUUAAAUUGGGCUCCCAGGUGACUCUGAUGCACAGCCAGAGUGAGGGCUACCAGGCUUGGUGGCACGUCGGCAUGAUGAAGGAACUGGGGCUCAUGCCGUGUUGGUUCCCCUCCUUCACGCCAGUGCUUGAAACAAAGGUGAGCCUCUGGUGUGUGCUGGGAUCCUUGGGGUGUCCUCCCGAAGGAAAUGAGGAAGCAGCAUGGACUUGGGGUCACCCAGCCAAGCUAGUUGGCUUGACAGCCAGUUGAUCUUCAGCCAGUUUGUUUGAAAUGUCCACCUCAGAGGUGUCAUUAUAAGGGCUUGGCACAGAGCACGGGACCCUUAGACCUUCUAUGUCAAAUCUCCCACGGAAGAGGUUAUUCUGCCUAGAGAUGGUGAAGACCCACUGGAGGCUGCAAGAAUCCCUAGACUUAAGCUCACUGAAGGGCACAUGAUGCCCUCAUGUGGUUAAAACUAGAUUUGUUUGAGAAAAUUUAAGUUAAAAAACAUUCUUUUUAACUAUACAACCAUGUUUUGAGGUUCAGGCUAUUCUGGUAAUAUUGCUGUGGCUGUUCACUAGCAGCUUCUGAUGUGUAUGUAGAACUUCAGUUUCAGCUCUCAGAGGAUGCUAACCAAGACACAAAUGCCUCAUUUAAAAAAUUACAAAGGAAAGUAGUGGGUAAUUGCAGUGUUGCCACAUGUAAUAAAGAAGAGAAAGACGAGCCCCACUUUGGACACUAUGAAUUAAAUACAACAGGCCACACAGAACAAUUUGACAUGGUUCUACCUGGCGGCUCUGAUUUGAGAUCUCUUAUAUAAAGGCCCGGCUCUGUCACCCUCUCCACAGGCUGCAGAAGAAUGGCCUUUGAAGUCCUGUGCCCUCCCCCAGAACUUGGAAUUUCUGUCUUAAUUUUGUAACAAAGGAGGUAUAUUUAAGGGAAGAGACAGCCAGUCCAUGGCUGAACAAAAAAAAAUCAGAAAAAAGCAAACACAUCCGACUUCUGAAGAUUUUGGAGACUGGAGACUUUAAGCUUGUAUUUCAAGAUCAUGUUCUCUCUAGAAAAUGGGCCUCCUUAAGUUGAUUUUAGCUGGUGCAGGACUGUGGGUCCUUGGAUGGUACGCCCUGCUGGUCAACCCCGAGGACACAUGGGAGUUAGGACAGUGUAGAAUGUCUGUGAUUCAUGCCUGAGCCAGGCGUGGAAUGUUUUUUAAACUUCAGGUCACUGCACACUUAGAUAGUUCAAAUGAACUACUUAAAUGUCACACCUGUGAGGACAGAGAAUGGACAGAAGUUUGUUCCCUAUGGCUGGCCCAUCCACCGCUGGGCAAAACCACCCGCAUGGCUAUCAAAGUCAGGGGCACUGGAGCCACCAGGCCAGACCCAAAGAAGAACCCCAGGCCUAGACAUCUCCAUUCUUUACCAUGCCCCAGGUGCUCUUUCUCUGUUUGGUCUGAAGCUCAGGGUAUUGUCUAAGCCAGCGUUUCUCAGAUUUCAGGAUUUCACAGACCAGUGGAAUUAACAAGAACCCUCUGGACUCACUGGGAGUUGCAGUCUGUUCCUGCGUGAAGAAUAAGGAAAAGGGGUGGCCAUCUCCCUUCACCUUCACCCUGGUUUCCUAAAGCAUGAUGUGCGCUUGCUUGACUUUGCAAACACCUCUGCACUAGUUU
This is a long non-coding RNA of Manis javanica (Malayan pangolin), 4914 nucleotides long. RefSeq lists it as uncharacterized. NCBI's taxonomy places the organism in Eukaryota, Metazoa, Chordata, Mammalia, Pholidota, Manidae. The record is from RefSeq and is a predicted model, not a curated record.